GCAUCGGUGGUUUAGUGGUAAAAUUAGCCGUUGCCACCCUCAUAGGUCAAUUCGGCUAGCCCCGGGUUCGAUUCCCGGCCGAUGCA
This 86-nucleotide transfer RNA is filed under the name Paraphoma chrysanthemicola. It matches the Rfam family "tRNA". From Rfam's summary of the family: Transfer RNA (tRNA) molecules are approximately 80 nucleotides in length. The record is from Rfam by way of RNAcentral. Lineage: Eukaryota; Fungi; Ascomycota; Dothideomycetes; Pleosporales; Phaeosphaeriaceae.